AUACGUAGGUCCCAAGCGUUGCGCGAUCUCACUGGGCGUAAAGCGUCCCCAGCCGGUCCGGUAAGCGGAUUGUCAAAACCCGCGGCUCAACCGCGGUAGGGCAACCCGAACUGCCGGACUUGAGGCAAGCCCAGGCAGGCGGAAUUCCCGGUGUAGCGGUGAAAUGCGUAGAUAUCAGGAGGAACACCAAAGGGGAGGCCAGCCUGCUGGGGCUGCCCUGACGGUCACGGACGAAAGCUGGGGGAGCAAACCGGAUUAGAAACCCUAGUAGUCC
This 274-nucleotide ribosomal RNA is filed under the name uncultured bacterium. Its description in RNAcentral is "partial 16S ribosomal RNA". It matches the Rfam family "Bacterial small subunit ribosomal RNA", at positions 523 to 796 of the family's 1533-position model. The record is from RNAcentral.